UGCCAGACUCCUACGGGAGGCAGCAGUGAGGCCUCUUGGUCAAUGGCCGCGAGGCUGACCCCGCCAAGUCGCGUGCGGGAAGACAGCCCUCCGGGUUGUACCCCUCUUUUGUCGGGGCGCCAAGCGAACCCCGUGUGGUUCAUUGAGAGUACCCGAAGAAAAAGCAUCGGCUACCUCCGUGCCAGCAGCCGCGGUAAUACGGAGGAUGCGAGCGUUAUCCGGAUUUAUUGGGUUUAAAGGGUGCGCAGGCGGAGGUGCAAGUCAGCGGUCAAAUUGCGGGGCUCGACCCCGUACUGCCGUUGAAACUGCAUCCCUUGAGUGCGCGAGAAGUAUGCGGAAUGCGUGGUGUAGCGGUGAAAUGCAUAGAUAUCACGCAGAACUCCGAUUGCGAAGGCAGCAUACCGGCGCGCAACUGACGCUCAUUCACGAAAGUGUGGGUAUCGAACAGGAUCAGAUACCCUCGUAU
This 466-nucleotide ribosomal RNA is filed under the name uncultured bacterium. RNAcentral's name for it is "bacterial SSU rRNA". It matches the Rfam family "Bacterial small subunit ribosomal RNA", at positions 329 to 793 of the family's 1533-position model. The record is from RNAcentral.